This 568-nucleotide ribosomal RNA is filed under the name Enterococcus faecium. RNAcentral's name for it is "bacterial SSU rRNA". It matches the Rfam family "Bacterial small subunit ribosomal RNA", at positions 875 to 1444 of the family's 1533-position model. The record is from RNAcentral. Lineage: Bacteria; Bacillati; Bacillota; Bacilli; Lactobacillales; Enterococcaceae.
GGGGAGUACGACCGCAAGGUUGAAACUCAAAGGAAUUGACGGGGGCCCGCACAAGCGGUGGAGCAUGUGGUUUAAUUCGAAGCAACGCGAAGAACCUUACCAGGUCUUGACAUCCUUUGACCACUCUAGAGAUAGAGCUUCCCCUUCGGGGGCAAAGUGACAGGUGGUGCAUGGUUGUCGUCAGCUCGUGUCGUGAGAUGUUGGGUUAAGUCCCGCAACGAGCGCAACCCUUAUUGUUAGUUGCCAUCAUUCAGUUGGGCACUCUAGCAAGACUGCCGGUGACAAACCGGAGGAAGGUGGGGAUGACGUCAAAUCAUCAUGCCCCUUAUGACCUGGGCUACACACGUGCUACAAUGGGAAGUACAACGAGUUGCGAAGUCGCGAGGCUAAGCUAAUCUCUUAAAGCUUCUCUCAGUUCGGAUUGCAGGCUGCAACUCGCCUGCAUGAAGCCGGAAUCGCUAGUAAUCGCGGAUCAGCACGCCGCGGUGAAUACGUUCCCGGGCCUUGUACACACCGCCCGUCACACCACGAGAGUUUGUAACACCCGAAGUCGGUGAGGUAACCUUUU